CCUGUGUUAUCUGUUAAAUUUAUUACAACAUUGGGUAGAUACCAGAAAACAUGAAUAAAUUAAAUGUUGCCUGAAUUCAAUUUCGACUACAAACAUAUACUCAACUUCAAUCAAAUCUAGCAGUGAAUUCUAUUCUUCAUGAGACUGAGCACAAUAUCAGACGGCUGAGCGGCCUUCGAUUAAACCAGAACUUUCAUCUUUCUGAUUGUCACCC
RNAcentral lists this long non-coding RNA (214 nucleotides) under Daucus carota (carrot). RNAcentral's name for it is "long non-coding RNA (DCAR_LNC001626)". The record is from RNAcentral. Lineage: Eukaryota; Viridiplantae; Streptophyta; Magnoliopsida; Apiales; Apiaceae.